UUUCUUUCAUCUGAAUGAGAAACUUCUUGUCACAUGCUCUGAGCCAUCAGGAAGCGAACCUCAAAUUGGGAUCUGAGUCUCGGUUGGUACAAGCCAGAACCCCAGCCUGCCUUAAACGAGCAUGGGAACAACCACAGCUCUGACAGCACUGCUGUUCUUCUGAGCUGACAGGCCUGAACUGAAGGAAGGCUGAGCACCAAGCGCUCCGGUUCAAAUUACUGUGUGGCAGGUACAUUGAAAAGCCUCAGACUUGCUUUCCUAAUU
This 264-nucleotide long non-coding RNA is filed under the name Numida meleagris (helmeted guineafowl). RNAcentral describes it as "lncRNA (ENSNMEG00000015330.1)". The record is from RNAcentral. Lineage: Eukaryota; Metazoa; Chordata; Aves; Galliformes; Numididae.